AAAUUGAAGAGUUUGAUCAUGGCUCAGAUUGAACGCUGGCGGCAGGCCUAACACAUGCAAGUCGAACGGUAACAGGAAGCAGCUUGCUGCUUCGCUGACGAGUGGCGGACGGGUGAGUAAUGUCUGGGAAACUGCCUGAUGGAGGGGGAUAACUACUGGAAACGGUGGCUAAUACCGCAUAACGUCGCAAGACCAAAGAGGGGGACCUUCGGGCCUCUUGCCAUCAGAUGUGCCCAGAUGGGAUUAGCUAGUUGGUGAGGUAACGGCUCACCAAGGCGACGAUCCCUAGCUGGUCUGAGAGGAUGACCAGCCACACUGGAACUGAGACACGGUCCAGACUCCUACGGGAGGCAGCAGUGGGGAAUAUUGCACAAUGGGCGCAAGCCUGAUGCAGCCAUGCCGCGUGUAUGAAGAAGGCCUUCGGGUUGUAAAGUACUUUCAGCGGGGAGGAAGGUGUUGUGGUUAAUAACCGCAGCAAUUGACGUUACCCGCAGAAGAAGCACCGGCUAACUCCGUGCCAGCAGCCGCGGUAAUACGGAGGGUGCAAGCGUUAAUCGGAAUUACUGGGCGUAAAGCGCACGCAGGCGGUCUGUCAAGUCGGAUGUGAAAUCCCCGGGCUCAACCUGGGAACUGCAUUCGAAACUGGCAGGCUUGAGUCUUGUAGAGGGGGGUAGAAUUCCAGGUGUAGCGGUGAAAUGCGUAGAGAUCUGGAGGAAUACCGGUGGCGAAGGCGGCCCCCUGGACAAAGACUGACGCUCAGGUGCGAAAGCGUGGGGAGCAAACAGGAUUAGAUACCCUGGUAGUCCACGCCGUAAACGAUGUCUACUUGGAGGUUGUGCCCUUGAGGCGUGGCUUCCGGAGCUAACGCGUUAAGUAGACCGCCUGGGGAGUACGGCCGCAAGGUUAAAACUCAAAUGAAUUGACGGGGGCCCGCACAAGCGGUGGAGCAUGUGGUUUAAUUCGAUGCAACGCGAAGAACCUUACCUGGUCUUGACAUCCACAGAACUUUUCCAGAGAUGGAUUGUGCCUUCGGGAACUGUGAGACAGGUGCUGCAUGGCUGUCGUCAGCUCGUGUUGUGAAAUGUUGGGUUAAGUCCCGCAACGAGCGCAACCCUUAUCCUUUGUUGCCAGCGAUUAGGUCGGGAACUCAAAGGAGACUGCCAGUGAUAAACUGGAGGAAGGUGGGGAUGACGUCAAGUCAUCAUGGCCCUUACGACCAGGGCUACACACGUGCUACAAUGGCGCAUACAAAGAGAAGCGACCUCGCGAGAGCAAGCGGACCUCAUAAAGUGCGUCGUAGUCCGGAUUGGAGUCUGCAACUCGACUCCAUGAAGUCGGAAUCGCUAGUAAUCGUGGAUCAGAAUGCCACGGUGAAUACGUUCCCGGGCCUUGUACACACCGCCCGUCACACCAUGGGAGUGGGUUGCAAAAGAAGUAGGUAGCUUAACCUUCGGGAGGGCGCUUACCACUUUGUGAUUCAUGACUGGGGUGAAGUCGUAACAAGGUAACCGUAGGGGAACCUGCGGUUGGAUCACCUCCUUACCUUAAAGAAGC
RNAcentral lists this ribosomal RNA (1554 nucleotides) under Salmonella enterica subsp. enterica serovar Virchow str. ATCC 51955. Its description in RNAcentral is "bacterial SSU rRNA". It matches the Rfam family "Bacterial small subunit ribosomal RNA". The record is from RNAcentral. Lineage: Bacteria; Pseudomonadati; Pseudomonadota; Gammaproteobacteria; Enterobacterales; Enterobacteriaceae.